UUGUGUACGUGAUAUCUGAAAAACAUGCUGAGUGCAAGUUUCCCAGUGCAAGGUGUGGUCGACUGGAUGAGAUACAUGUACAACAGGAUGCACGCAAUGAGCAUCCUAGUACAAAACCAUUAUCACGGAUUCAAUCAAUCCCUGGGUCCGUGUCCUGUUUUUCCACGAAUUCAACUUAUUCCACCAAAUUCAAUUUUUCCACAAGGUUCAUUCAUUCCAUCGUAUCCAAUUAUUCCACAAAGUUCAUUCAUUCCACCAAAUCAAUUUAUUCCACAAAAUUCACUUAUUCCACAAAACCCACUUAUUGAACAAUAUCCACACAUUCAACACUAUCCACUUAUUCCGCAUUAUGCAAGGUUUACGCAAAAUCAUUAUAUUCCGCAAGUUCCAUUUUUUCAACAAAAUCAAUGUAUUCCUCUUUAUCAACGGAAUCUACAAAAUCCAUUCAUCCUACUUUAUCCAAAUUAUCAAUUCGG
This is a long non-coding RNA of Saccostrea cuccullata (small rock oyster), 476 nucleotides long. RefSeq lists it as uncharacterized. NCBI's taxonomy places the organism in Eukaryota, Metazoa, Mollusca, Bivalvia, Ostreida, Ostreidae. The record is from RefSeq and is a predicted model, not a curated record. The transcript has 3 exons.